RNAcentral lists this transfer RNA (66 nucleotides) under Tadorna tadornoides (Australian shelduck). RNAcentral's name for it is "tRNA-Ser". Lineage: Eukaryota; Metazoa; Chordata; Aves; Anseriformes; Anatidae. RNAcentral also lists the same sequence under 2 other names. The record is from RNAcentral.
GAGGGGAGGUCGAACCAACAAGAACUGCUAAUUCUUGCAUCUGGGCUUUAAACCCCAGCCCCCUUA